GGGCCCGCACAAGCGGUGGAGCAUGUGGUUUAAUUCGAGGCAACGCGAAGAACCUUACCAGCUCUUGACAUCCUGGUCGGGGCUCCAGAGACGGAGCCUAUCAAUUGGCCAGUGACAGGUGCUGCA
This 126-nucleotide ribosomal RNA is filed under the name uncultured bacterium. Its description in RNAcentral is "partial 16S ribosomal RNA". It matches the Rfam family "Bacterial small subunit ribosomal RNA", at positions 917 to 1045 of the family's 1533-position model. The record is from RNAcentral.